UAUCCGUGGGUUCACUGCAUCACGCACAAAUCUUUCGCCUUUUACUAAAGAUUUCCGUGCAGAGGACCAAUACGAUCGGAAUUUAACAAUUUAUUUCUGCCUUGUCAUUUGAUGAGGC
Molecule: small nuclear RNA, 118 nt
Filed under: Lytechinus variegatus (green sea urchin)
Lineage: Eukaryota; Metazoa; Echinodermata; Echinoidea; Temnopleuroida; Toxopneustidae
Description: U5 spliceosomal RNA
Rfam family: U5 spliceosomal RNA
About the family: U5 RNA is a component of both types of known spliceosome. The precise function of this molecule is unknown, though it is known that the 5' loop is required for splice site selection and p220 binding, and that both the 3' stem-loop and the Sm site are important for Sm protein binding and cap methylation.
Source: RNAcentral